This is an RNA transcript of Argiope bruennichi, 2501 nucleotides long. It is a transcript of the gene named probable ATP-dependent RNA helicase DDX43, with no coding region annotated. The transcript has 2 exons. NCBI's taxonomy places the organism in Eukaryota, Metazoa, Arthropoda, Arachnida, Araneae, Araneidae. The record is from RefSeq and is a predicted model, not a curated record.
UAUUGUAUUUUCAUUACUGUCGGUUCUGAACGGUAAUUCUUGAAACAAUCAAGAAUUUGUAUUUGCUUGUCACUUGUAAUUGAAAUUAUUUUUAAAUUUUCAGUAAAAAAAUGGAGGAAUAUUGGGAUGAUGGUGAAGAAUUUUUGCCUGUACAACCUGUAAUUUCCAGGAAUGAACAGCCGCAUGCAAGAUCGAAUGAUGCACCUCGAGGAAGAAGUUAUAAUUCCAAUUCAUAUAAUAAGGAAUAUUCCGCCAAUGGUGCCGGUGGUAACUUUAGAGAAGACAGGCCUAGGAACAGUGAAAAUGAUUUUUCUAAUAGAGGAAGAAGAACAUUUUCACGAGGCGGUCGUAACGAGAGAAAUUGGCGACCAAAUGAAGAAUCAUCGCGAGGUGGUCGUAACGAGAGAAAUUGGCGAUCAAAGGAAGAAACCUCGCGUGGUGGUCGGAACGAGAGAAAUUGGAGAUCAAAUGAAGAAUCUUCUGAAAUUCAGAUUGAUUCAAAUUUUGUAGGAAGAGUCAUUGGUCGUGGUGGCUCAAAAAUACAAGAAUUACAAACAGAAAGCGGCGCGCAUAUUAAAAUCCUUCAAGAUAGCGAUGUAGAGGGAUCUACAUCAGUUCGUCUUACAGGAUCUCCAGAAGCACGCGAAAAGGCUAAAACUAUGAUAGAAGAAUUAACUACGGAUUUUGGAAGGAUGUCAACAAAUAGAAACUUCCAUAAUCCUAAUAAUUCUGAAAAUACAUCAUCUUUUACCAAUGAAGUUAAAGCAGAUGGAAUCAACACAUUUAUUGAUUGGGAUGAGCUGAAUAAAAAGUAUCAUGAAGAAAAAGAGAAGCAACUUGCAGCACUUCCAAAAUUAAUAAAGAAUUUUUACAAAGAAGAUCCAGUUGUAGCAGCUAUGACUAAACAAGAAGUAAAUCAAUUUAGAGCUGAAAAUAACAACAUAACUGUGAUGAAUGUAGAUACUGAUGAUAAUAAACCUAUUCCUAAUCCUGUUACUACAUUUGAGCAAGCCUUCCAGCAUUAUCCUGAAUUAUUGGAAGAACUGAAAAAACAAGAUUUUUCAAAACCAUCUCCAAUUCAGAGUCAGGCUUGGCCAAUUAUCAUGAGUGGUUAUGAUCUGAUUGGUAUUGCCCAAACUGGUACUGGAAAGACUAUAGCCUUUUUAUUUCCGGCACUCAUCCAUAUUGUUGGACAAAUUACCCCCCGAGAAGAACGUGUUGGACCAAGCUGCGUUAUUUUAGCUCCAACACGAGAGUUAGCUCAACAAAUUGAAGUUGAAGCUAGAAAAUACUCCUAUUGCAAUAUUACAAGUGUAUGCAUUUAUGGAGGUGGCAGCAGAAGGGACCAAAUUAAUGUUGUAACCAAAGGUGUGGAUAUUGUCAUAGCAACUCCAGGAAGAUUGAAUGAUCUUGUUAUGAACAAAAUCAUAAAUGUUUCUGGUGUAACAUAUCUUGUUUUGGAUGAAGCGGAUCGUAUGUUAGAUUUGGGUUUUGAACCUCAGAUUCGUAAAAUUGUACUUGAUAUCCGUCCGGAUCGACAAACCAUAAUGACCAGUGCUACUUGGACCAAUGAAAUUCAAAAAUUAGCUGCUAGAUACAUGAAGAAACCAAUUAAAGUAAAUGUUGGUGCUCUUGAUUUAGCUGCUGUUCACUCAGUUACUCAACAAGUGAUAUUUGCUGAAGAUGAGGACAGACGAGCAAUAUUAGAAGAAUUUUUGGCUUCUAUGAAAGAUGACGAAAAAGUCAUUGUGUUUGUUGAGCGAAAAAGUGUUGCAGAUGAUAUAUCAAGUGAUUUAAUAUUGCGAGGAGUCGAACUUCAAUCAAUUCAUGGAGACAGAGAACAAAUAGAUCGAGAACAAGCCCUCAAUGAUAUAAAAACUGGAUAUGUUAAAAUUUUGAUUGCUACUGAUGUAGCUUCCAGGGGGCUUGAUGUUAAAGAUAUAACACAUGUAUUUAAUAUGUAUUUUCCACAUAAUAUUGAAGAGUAUGUUCAUCGUGUAGGUCGAACUGGCCGUGCUGGCCGAACUGGAACUGCAAUAUCCAUAUUUACUCGACAAGAUUGGAUGCAUGCUGAGAGCUUCAUAAAAAUCCUUGAAGAGGCUGACCAAUUUGUCCCUAAAGAAUUGUAUGAUAUGGCUGAUCGUUACCGAGCUUGGAAACGUAAAAAAGAAGCAGAAGAUGCUGAAGGUGGUUUUAGACGUAGAGGACGUGGUGGUGGCCGUAGGCGUUUUUGAUCUAUUUCCCUGUUAAAUUCUGCUAACAUAGAAGAAUGUAUAUAGUCUCUUUUGUAUGGAUAUCUGCUUAGUUAGUCUGGCAUUGAAUGUACAGUUGUUCAUCAGUAUUGCUAAUUGGGAAGCAAUUCAUUCUUGACAAUCAUUGGUUAUUUUCUCAUAUUAGGUGAGUUAAAUGUAUGUGUUUGUGUGUGUGCUUACGUUUUCAUUUCCUUUGUUUAUUCAUAAAUUUUUAAUGUGCUUAUCAAAUUAGACUAUUUUUUUACUUAU